UCCAGCUGGAGCCGGGCGUGCGAGCAGCGCCUGCCCGCAGGACGGGCUAAGGAACUCAAAAUGUGAAAGUUGCUCCCUAAAGGAAGUUUGGCAUUAAAGUUUGAAAAAUCAGGCAAGCCAACCCUGCAGCCCUGAGGUCCUGAAGCCCGGCAGGACCCAGCCCAACAUGGCAAGGAAGAUGUUCUGCCCUUGCUGAGCUUUGGAAGGACUGUAAAUAUCAGGCUCUGCAUGAAUCCUGGAUUUCCAUGAAUAGAUGGAAUUGAAAUGGAAAGAUACCAUCCAAAUAGAGCUGCUCCCAGCUCCGUACAGCCCAAGGAUCUUUGAAGGGGACCUAAAGGCUGCUGCAUGCAUCUAAUCAAAAAGGCAUGGGUACUCCUGCAUGAGUCUUUCAUCUGAAUAAAGCACGUAAGGUAAUGCCUCA
Long non-coding RNA from Lonchura striata (white-rumped munia), 421 nucleotides. RefSeq lists it as uncharacterized. The record is from RefSeq and is a predicted model, not a curated record. Lineage: Eukaryota; Metazoa; Chordata; Aves; Passeriformes; Estrildidae.